CAAGAACGGAAAGCCAGAUUCGCCGUUCAACAAAAAUUAAAAGAAGCCCACGACGCUUUGCAUCAUUUUUCUUGUAAAAUGUUGGCUUCUCGUCAUUGUGCUGAAUGCGGUUAUAAACCUGUGUUACCAGAAUGAGUUACACAAAUGAUAAGUAACAUUCACAUGUCGACAGAACAAAGACGGAAGAACGUCGUGUUCAAAUGCCAUACGUAGUGUUCACGUGGUAUACCGACUUUUGCUUAGGAGAGCACGCAAUGUAUAAUACUCUGGAAGUGUCUUUUAAUGUCCAGUUGUACAUAAAAGUGUACAGAAUAGAAGAAAGGAAGCAGCCACCGUAACAAAACAUUGUAUAAAUAUAUUUAUUCUGUAUUAUUUUACGCUUUACCAUUCCGAUACGAAGAUUUAUAGUGACAGUUAUACCGCUCCUAAAUUAUUCGUAACAAACAAAAAAAAAAAAAAAAAAAGAAACGAAAA
This is a long non-coding RNA of Centruroides sculpturatus (bark scorpion), 474 nucleotides long. RefSeq lists it as uncharacterized. Lineage: Eukaryota; Metazoa; Arthropoda; Arachnida; Scorpiones; Buthidae. The transcript has 2 exons. The record is from RefSeq and is a predicted model, not a curated record.